UUUAUGUUCCACCUGCCCGGGAAAAUCCCAGCCUUAUGUCAAUCCAAAAUCUUUUUUUCUGUAUCCAGACUGCCAUGCACACUGGAGAAAAUGAGACUUCUGACAGAGUGAAUGAACUCCUCCUGCCAAGUUACCUGGGCCUUCAACAAUACCUAAUAUGUUCAUUCCUCAGUAUGCAUGGGGGAUUGGUGUCAAGACCUCCCGCUUACUUAGAGGAUACCCAAAGAUGUUCAAGUCCCUUAUAUAAAAUAGGAAUUUGCAUAUCAAUUUACAUACAUCCUCUCAUACACUUUUAAAUCAUCUCUAGAUUAUUUAUAAUACCUAAUACAAUAUAAAUGCUGUUUUAAAUAGUUACUAUUUAGGAAAUGAUGACAAGAAGCAACUUUGUACAUGUUCAGUAAAGACAAUUUUUUUUCCACAUAUUUUUGAAACCUAUGGGUAUGGAACUUCUGGACACAGAGGACUGACUCUCAUUCUGUAUUUCCCUAGUCUUUGCCUCUCAUUUGCUAUAGGGUUCUUGCCUCAAUUCUCAAACACCUGCACUUCCAUAUUCCUAUUUUCAGGAAAUUAAAAAAAAAAAACAACAACAUACCAUUUCAAUUGUGAACUGUUUCCUACUCAUCCGUACAAAUCUGACUUGUUUUGGCACCCACGCUUGCCUUUUCCUCUACUGUCAAAAUAUUGAGUGUUUCUCUAUCAAAGGCUCAUCUGCUUUUAGCUGCUUCCCCCGUCUCUUUUCCCUUCCACAGCUGAGCUUUGGAAGUGUCAUUCCGUUCCCAUCUGCACUUCCUGUCUCCCUCUCACCUCCAGCUCACUCCACCUCCACAAUUUGCAGGUCCCACUCACCACCUCCCUCACUCAUUAGUGUUGUCUUUCAUCUUGACGAAUUUUGUCCUCCUGUUUUCUUUAAGUGAAUUUAUUCUUUUUCCAACAUCUUGAUUUGGAUCUUAAUUCACAUUAAUUUUUUUCUUCUUAAGAAGUAUUUAAGGCCCUGACUUUUUCCUCUCCUUUUUUUGUGUCUUACAGAUUCUUAUGUGAAGGAAUGUUUCCCAAUAUAUAUAUUUUUGUGUUGGGGGAGGGUUUUUUUGCUUUUCUCAUUGAGUGUGUAAAUAAAAUUUUUAAAAAUUCUGAGUGGUAGAGGGGCUGGGGCUGUAUCCCAGAGGCAGAGCGCUUGCCUAGCAUGCAUGAGGCACUGGGUUCAAUCCUCAACACCACAUAAAAAUAAACAAAUAAAAU
RNAcentral lists this long non-coding RNA (1236 nucleotides) under Marmota monax (woodchuck). The record is from RNAcentral. Lineage: Eukaryota; Metazoa; Chordata; Mammalia; Rodentia; Sciuridae.